GCUGACGGAUUUGUUCCUCUCUGACAACAAGCUGACGAGCGUGCCGGCGGAGAUUGGGCAGCUCGCGUCGCUGAAAGAUUUACGCAUCACUAACAAUGAGCUGGAAGACCUACCAGGAAAGAUCAUCGGGCGGCUCACCUCGCUGACGGGGUUGAACCUCAGCGACAAUCGGCUGACGAGCGUGCCGGCGGAGAUCGGGCGGCUCACCUCGCUGACGGGGUUGGGCCUUGACGGCAACAAGCUGACGAGCGUGCCGGCGGAGAUCGGGCGGCUCACCUCGCUGACGGUGUUGCGCCUUGACGGCAAUCGGCUGACGAGCGUGCCGGCGGAGAUCGGGCGGCUCACCUCGCUCACGUAUUUGCGCCUCUCUGGCAACAAGCUGACGAGCGUGCCGGCGGAGAUCGGGCGGCUCACCUCGCUGACGGGGUUGGGCCUUGACGGCAACAAGCUGACGAGCGUGCCGGCGGAGAUCGGGCGGCUCACCUCGCUGACGGUGUUGCGCCUUGACGGCAAUCGGCUGACGAGCGUGCCGGCGGAGAUUGGGCAGCUUACGGCGCUGGAGGGGUUGUUCCUUGACGGCAACAAGCUGACGAGCGUGCCGGCGGAGAUCGGGCGGCUCACGUCGCUGCACGCGUUGUUCCUCUCUGACAACAAGCUGACGAGCGUGCCGGCGGAGAUUGGGCGGCUCACCUCGCUGAGGGAGUUUACCCUCCACAACAACAAGCUGACGAGCGUGCCGGCGGAGAUCUGGCGGCUUCGUGAACGCGGUUACGCGUAUCUUGACGAGGGCGUGACGAUUGAGGGUGAGAACUUCACCACAGAUUCGAGCUCGUCCUCGGGCUCGUCCUCGGGCUCGUCCUCGGCCUCAAGGGCCUCAUCAGAAUUUACAGACUCCGAUUAUUAG
RNAcentral lists this long non-coding RNA (904 nucleotides) under Micromonas commoda. Its description in RNAcentral is "long non-coding RNA (MCOM_LNC000466)". Lineage: Eukaryota; Viridiplantae; Chlorophyta; Mamiellophyceae; Mamiellales; Mamiellaceae. The record is from RNAcentral.